CCCUCCCCCCCCUGCAAGCCCCGCGCCCCGAGAAGUCCUGCGGCCAAGUUCCAGGCGCUCUGUCCGGCCGUCCCCAGCGUCUGCGGGCGCGGGUGGGGCGGCGACCGUCAGUCACCGGCCUGUGGGCGCGGCGGCGGGGCGGGAACUGCGCGCUGGCCCGGACUCCAGAGUGUGUGUGUCCCGACAGCCCGCGCCGCUCCGUCCCGGGCCUCCCCGACAAGCCCCUGACGCUCCAGCUCGACCUGGCGGAUGCAUUUGGGUUGUUCUGCCGGCACGACCAGAACUGUGCACAGGUCUGAGUCAUGAAGUCCUAACGCAGAGCAGUGAGUGGAGAGUUUGGGAAAAGGCAGGUCAAGGUUCCGGGAAGACACGGCUGACCCCGUGACCCUGCAGAAGUCGAUUUUGGGAAUUAGUAAGAAGGUUUAUCUAGUGGCCUGCCGUUGCCCAGGGUCCACACUGCUUCAUGCUGUCUGAUUUGGGGCUCUCGUUGCUAUCCGCAGGUUUGGCGAGCAGCACUUUCCGUGGGAUGUUUGGCGU
Molecule: long non-coding RNA, 537 nt
Organism: Ochotona princeps (American pika)
Lineage: Eukaryota; Metazoa; Chordata; Mammalia; Lagomorpha; Ochotonidae
Exons: 3
Source: RefSeq, a predicted model, not a curated record